This 902-nucleotide long non-coding RNA is filed under the name Sus scrofa (pig). RNAcentral describes it as "lncRNA (ENSSSCG00005012526.1)". Lineage: Eukaryota; Metazoa; Chordata; Mammalia; Artiodactyla; Suidae. The record is from RNAcentral.
CAUCCAAUAAUGGAAGGGCUGUUUGUGCCUACAUAGUGCUGUCUGUAAUGGCAUUAACUGUCUGGUUCUCAUCUGGCUUGGGACUUUUAACUGUGCCAUUGAUAUCAAUCCUUCACUAGUAGUGGAAAACAAUUCUACUUGGAUAUGGUUGGUCCAUAGUAUUUUUUAAUAUACAAACCAUAGAACCUAUUUGUCUAGUCUUUCAAAAAUCUCCACUUUAAAAAGACAAUACCAUAGUGCCUACACUGAAAAUAAAACAUUUUAAAUGUGAAAAGAGAAAUGAGAGAAGCCAAAACUAAUUAUUUUUUACCAGAUAUGAGUGGGAUCACUAAAACAUGGAAGCAACAAAAGUACCUACACUUCUACCUCUACCUGACAAGAAAAUAUUGCAAGAUUACAAGCUAACCAUCACCUGGAAGGAAGAAAUGUUGGGCAUGGCACUAACUGAUGUGUAUAUUUACCGUGAAGUUUACCCCAGGUGAAAAGAGGAAGCCAGCUGUGUGAAUGGAAUUUGGAGAAAGGUAAUACCCGCUGGCCAACAAGAGAAAGAUCCAUGAAAUCUAUAUAGUCGUCCUGGAUAAGAGUUUGCCAAGAUUUCUGUAGACUUGGUCUUCCUUUCUACUCCUGGAAAAAUUCCCUUUAGGGCAGAGUUGAAGCACAUUUUAACAGAGUAGCACUUGCUCUUCUGCCUAUAUGCUGCCUAAGCAGUAGAUAAUCAGAAGUGCUCUGGGUUCCGAAUUCAGCUGCAACAAAAAUCACUUUUUAAACAGUUUGCUGUUGAGACACCCGAAUUACUGACUCACUUUGGAUGGCGUCUUCACUAUCUAGGAUAAAAGUGCUUUAAAUGCACUCUAUAGCAUAACCUAUAGUGAUAAUGCAGUAUGCCAUGUUAUUUACCACUU